This 584-nucleotide long non-coding RNA is filed under the name Ananas comosus (pineapple). Its description in RNAcentral is "long non-coding RNA (ACOM_LNC038586)". The record is from RNAcentral. Lineage: Eukaryota; Viridiplantae; Streptophyta; Magnoliopsida; Poales; Bromeliaceae.
UCACCUCCCCCACCUUUUUUUCAGGUAUCGUGGGCGAUGAGUAGUGGGACGAGACGUGAGGUACGCGUGUAGCGGUCGAUAGAGCUUUCGACCCGGGUUAUUUCGGUUUACUUUCUUACCCUUCUUAUUUUGGCUGAUGAAUAGUUUAGUUGGUUUAUGUGGUUCAGUGUUUAUUUACAUUUGAAAAUGUGGAUUUCUGAAUUUUGUAAAAUAAAAGGUUUUCUACCCCUCGUGGUAGCGUUUUUAAAGAAUAAAAGUUCCUGUGUAGGAACAGUUUUUCAAAAGAUUUUCUAUGGAUUUUGCAUCUUAGUAUUUCAAAACUUGUUUCUGUGGUUGGAAACAUUUUAACUAAUAGAUGUGGAUUUAUGCUUUUAAAUAUUGAAUGUAAAAAUGUGAACCUGUGGCGAAUGGUGUAUGAAUAUAUAACUGUGGUUAUUUGUAUGUUCAUCUGGUUGUGGUUGUAUCAUGUUUGAACUCUUGUACUUGUGCGACGCCGUGCAAAUACAGGGGAGACUCUGUCCGUGUGGACAGUGGAUCUUCUGUAUUUGUGGCGGAUCUGGCAUACCCUCGGGUCAGGUUUUCAA